This 216-nucleotide ribosomal RNA is filed under the name uncultured fungus. RNAcentral describes it as "partial small subunit ribosomal RNA". The stretch from base 92 to 216 matches the Rfam family "Eukaryotic small subunit ribosomal RNA", at positions 738 to 864 of the family's 1831-position model. Lineage: Eukaryota; Fungi. The record is from RNAcentral.
GACCUGGUUGAGUGGUCUGCCUCAUGGUGUGUACUGUUUGACUGGGCCUUACCUCUUGGUGAGCUGGCGUACCCUUUAUUGGUGUGCGUCGGGGAACCAGGACUUUUACCUUGAGAAAAUUAGAGUGUUCAAAGCAGGCCUAUGCCCGAAUACAUUAGCAUGGAAUAAUAAAAUAGGAUGUGCGGUUCUAUUUUGUUGGUUUCUAGAGUCGCCAUA